AGCAACAAGAACAUGUCUUGACUUGUACCAGCUUGUCAAAAGGGAGUUAAGGCUUGUGGUCAGCACCAGUAACUGUAUUUGCAUUGUCAUCCAAAUGACCGGCGAAAGACGACAGCAGCAUACCAUCCACUGUAGAAUAUAUGGAUACUGGGACAAACUGAACUGACAGUCUCAGCACUGGAUAUCCCUUCUCUAGAAGAUCCCUGACUUCACCACGGCUAAUUGGUCUACUGAUGACAUGACCCCUGAGAAAAAAGAAACGUAUCCAGAUGUCCUGGAGAAGAUGAGAGACCCUGUGUCAGCAGUAAGGAGACCUCUCACCUACCCUCAUCUCUUGGAAAGCAAAAGCAGAACAAAGACUUUUUCUUUAAGGGGAAAUCUACCUCUGUCCCCAGCUGUCAUACAAGUACUGUGUGUGGACAUUCCAUGAGCAGAGUAUUAAAGUGUCCAGAGCUCACCCGCAGGAGACAGGAGAGUUAUACGAGGAGCCUUUACAGUCACCGACAGCUGAUAGUGAGAGAUACUGAAGUGAUGGAAGAGAAGAGAGCGAGUGAGGGAUGAGGGCUGCUGCUGUGAGUGGUUCUUUGGCAGUGUCUUAGCUGGUUGUUGUGUGGAGUGAGAACGAAGCAAUCAGCAAGUAUACUGCCGCAGAAACUCGUCACCUUGGGAGGCCCAUCCAAAGACCCCGCUCACGCACUCAGCUGUCCACCCGCGCUCAGAGGCUGGUGAGAGAGACGACAAAAGAGAAUUCAUUAUUGAACUUGUCUUCCCAUUCAUUCUUCUUCUAAUUGCGAGUGUCAGCUUUUGUUUAUUGGCAACGCUGCUUGAACACUCACAGCGACUUGAGAUUUUCACGUGAAAGACUGAUUUAUGCUUACGGUAUGUUGGAUCAUAUUUUCUGUGACAUUGUAGUCAUAGUUUAGAUCAAUCCAUUCGUUUUCUUUCUUUCAUUUCCAUGAGAUCUGGAGUGAUUCAGUCAAGUGUUAUUGUGAAAAUCAGCUGACUAGAUUUCGCAGUUUCAGUAUUGCCAUGACAUGGUGUGGCCCGUUUAUAUUUGGCUUACUUAGCUUACAGUCCUGUGACAUAUUCAUAUUGUGUUAUGGUGUGUUUAUUUAGAAAUUUGCUAAUUUACCAAAACAUUAAUCCUAAUGAUUAACCAAAAAUACUUUUCAUUCUGGUUUGAAAAAAAUAUGUAGAAAAAAGUAUUGGGAAAUGGAAUAUAUAAAUGUAUGUGUGUGUGUGUGUGUGUGUGUGUGUGUGUGUGUGUGUGUGUGUGUGUGUGUGUGUGUGUGUGUGUGUGUGUGUGUGUGUUUAAUAAAUAUAAAAAAUGUUUUGUAAUAUUUGUAUAAAUUAAUAUUUAUUUGAAUUUUUUUUUUUUGUAGACUGUAUUUUAAUAGUAAUUACAUAUGAAUGCAUUUUUUUCCAAAUAACAGUAAAAACAAAAUACGAGUUUUUCAAAUGUUGUCGCUAUUGUCAUGUUUUAUUUCUCUACUUUCUAGUGCAUGUUUAGACUUUAAAGUGGUUUUAAGUUGAGUUUCAUUUUCAGGGAAUUUCAUUAGUGUUGGGGUUUGUUAAUCAUCAAAAGGGCAGUUUGUUAAGGUGAAUGAAAUGCCUGUAACUCACUUGAGGUUUCGAUGUAAUAACAUCAGUGUGGCAAUAAGUUUGAACUUGUCUGUACUCUGAAAUGCUGGAAAUCAAUUUAGUAAGGUCUUUUACAACGUAUUAAAGCACUUUGUUUUAAAUAAUAUCCUAAAAGUGUGAUUAUAAUGCCAUGCAGGGUGUAGCCUUCACAAACUUAAUGCAAAGGUAUGUUGAACACCUUAAUUUUUUUUUUUUUAAUGAGCAAUUAUAGCAAAUUAAUCCAAAUUAACUGUAUGAAUAAUCUCAGAUAUUUGUCAGUUUAGUCACUUGCCUAGAUUGGAUCUUAACUGACAAUGUCAAUUAGUUUUUUAUGCACAGAAUGCAUGAUAAAUGCCUGGGGCAAACUCCCAACAAACAUCUCUAUAGUUGUUUCAGUUGUAUGAUUUACCCAGACUUAGGCAGACAGUAUUUUGCAUUUUAUUCUAGUUUAUCUCUGGAGUCUGGAUUGUAUUAUGUCAGUGGCUCCGGAGUUUAAUUUUCAUGUAUUAUCUAUGAUAACAGAUCCAAACUGAACUUGAAAUUAUCAGUAUAUAAAAUAGAUGCUUUUACUUACAGUAGUCCUUCUUAAAUGUAUUAUACAUUUAAUUACACAACAUAUAAUACAAUAAAAUGUGUUACACAACAUAAUAAUAAACAACUCAUUUCAAAUAUAAUGA
Carassius carassius (crucian carp) is the source of this 2297-nucleotide long non-coding RNA. RefSeq lists it as uncharacterized. Lineage: Eukaryota; Metazoa; Chordata; Actinopteri; Cypriniformes; Cyprinidae. The record is from RefSeq and is a predicted model, not a curated record. The transcript is spliced from 4 exons.